This 482-nucleotide ribosomal RNA is filed under the name uncultured bacterium. RNAcentral's name for it is "partial 16S ribosomal RNA". It matches the Rfam family "Bacterial small subunit ribosomal RNA", at positions 30 to 507 of the family's 1533-position model. The record is from RNAcentral.
AUUGAACGCUGGCGGCAUGCCUAACACAUGCAAGUCGAGCGGAAGCAGGUCUCCGGCUCCUGACUAGUGUCGACGGCGGGAGUGAUACACCGAAACGUGUCCAUACUCGAGGGGAAUCGAGUCGAAACCUUAGCUCUUACCGCAUACACGAUAAGAGUGAGAACCGGGUGCCUCAAAGGAUUGUGCGUUUGGUGCUGCCGAUGGCAGAUUAGCUAGUUGGUGGGAUAAAAGCUUACCAAGGCGACGAUCUGUAGCUGGUCUGAGAGGAUGACCAGCCACACUGGAACUGAGACACGGUCCAGACUCCUACGGGAGGCAGCAGUGGGGAAUAUUGGACAAUGGGCGAAAGCCUGAUCCAGCAAUGCCGCGUGCAUGAUGAAGGUCUUCGGAUUGUAAACUGCUUUUGUAAGGGACGAAGAGGAUUGGGCUAAUACCUGGCGAACUUGACGGUACCGUAAGAAUAAGCACCGGCUAACUACGUG